Cataglyphis hispanica is the source of this 181-nucleotide long non-coding RNA. RefSeq lists it as uncharacterized. The transcript is spliced from 3 exons. The record is from RefSeq and is a predicted model, not a curated record. Lineage: Eukaryota; Metazoa; Arthropoda; Insecta; Hymenoptera; Formicidae.
GAAUUUUUCCUGUCCAGGAUUAAGCUGACGCAAUAAUAAUCAGAAACUACACCGACAGGACAUAUCGGAUUUCUUCCGCAUCUUCCGCAGGAUCGACUUGACACAGAUCGAAAAUUAUAGCAUCGAGGAGACGUGCUUAUUUUUUCCUCGGAUUGACCUGAUUAAAGACAAAAUGUAUGGG